Vicugna pacos (alpaca) is the source of this 614-nucleotide non-coding RNA. Lineage: Eukaryota; Metazoa; Chordata; Mammalia; Artiodactyla; Camelidae. The record is from RefSeq and is a predicted model, not a curated record.
CGAGGCAUCUAUGUCAUAACGUGUCAUUUUGGUGGGCUCUGUUCUAGACACAAUGAAGGAGUGAGCUUGUGAAAAUGCUCUGUCAUGGCCUUGACACUCUUGACACACUGGAAAGAGAAUGGAGACAAAUCACAGGAUGCUGGAGCGUCAUGCCAUCUAGCUGUUUUACACAGGAGGAAGGGAAGAACGCCUGGGAAAGGGUGGCUCCAGUAUAUUGGAAGUUUUGUGAAAACCUCGAGGGCAUUGACCUUAACUUUGAAGCUUCCCAUCCCUGUAGCUUCAAUGGAGGUGUCUUGAGGAAGAGAUUCAUCAUGGUUUGUUGCAAGCCCCUUCCCUCCGGGCACACAGCUAGACUGCUUUUUCCACUCUCUGUUACCACGUCCUGGCCAACAGAAUGAAAGGAUGCCUGCAGCUACUUCCUCUGAAUCUGAUGAAAUCACCUAGGCCGAUUUAAAUUGCACAGUCCAGCACUGCCUCCAACAUCAGGAAAGUAAUGUGAUAAAUAUGUUUGGAUGUUUAUCUUUUAGUUCCUACAAACUUUGGCUCUAGGUUAAACAUUUUGGUAUCAUGUUUAUUUUUUUAAAUAAUAACAACCACAAGAACCACCCAAGUAA